GCAAGCCCUCGCUGAAGGAUGAGUUCGCGUACCAUUAGCUUGUUGGUAGGGUAAUGGCCUACCAAGGCGACGAUGGUUAGCUGGUCUGAGAGGAUGAUCAGCCACACUGGAACUGAGACACGGUCCAGACUCCUACGGGAGGCAGCAGUGAGGAAUCUUGCGCAAUGGGGGAAACCCUGACGCAGCAACGCCGCGUGAGUGAGGAAGGUCUUCGGAUCGUAAAGCUCUGUCAGUUGGAAAGAAAUGUCUGAGAGUCAAUCCCUUUCAGGCUUGACGGUACCAACAGAGGAAGCACCGGCUAACUCCGUGCCAGCAGCCGCGGUAAUACGGGGGGUGCAAGCGUUGUUCGGAAUUAUUGGGCGUAAAGAGCGUGUAGGCGGCCGGAUAUGUCAGAUGUGAAAGCCCCGGGCUUAACCCGGGAAGUGCAUUUGAAACUGUCCGGCUCGAGUAAGGGAGAGGGAAGUGGAAUUCCUGGUGUAGAGGUGAAAUUCGUAGAUAUCAGGAGGAACACCGGUGGCGAAGGCGACUUCCUGGCCCUAUACUGACGCUGAGACGCGAGAGCGUGGGUAGCAAACAGGAUUAGAUACCCUGGUAGUCCACGCCGUAAACGAUGUUCACUAGGUGUUGGGGGUAUUGACCCCCUCAGUGCCGGAGCUAACGCA
Molecule: ribosomal RNA, 662 nt
Filed under: uncultured bacterium
Lineage: Bacteria
Description: bacterial SSU rRNA
Rfam family: Bacterial small subunit ribosomal RNA
Source: RNAcentral